AUACUCCGAGAACUGAAAGGCUUUUUGAAGUCUUCGGAUGGAUAGAAGAACCCCUGAUGCCGUCGAGCCAAGAAAAGUUUCUAAGUUUAGCUAAUGUUGCCCGUACCGUAAACCGACACAGGUGGGUGGGAUGAGUAUUCUAAGGCGCGUGGAAGAACUCUCUUUAAGGAACUCUGCAAAAUAGCACCGUAUCUUCGGUAUAAGGUGUGGUUAGCUUCGUACUAGGAUUUACUCCGAAAGCGAAGAAACUUACAACAAAGAGUCCCUCCCGACUGUUUACCAAAAACACAGCACUCUGCUAACUCGUAAGAGGAUGUAUAGGGUGUGACGCCUGCCCGGUGCUCGAAGGUUAAUUGAUGGGGUUAGCAUUAGCGAAGCUCUUGAUCGAAGCCCGAGUAAACGGCGGCCGUAACUAUAACGGUCCUAAGGUAGCGAAAUUCCUUGUCGGUUAAAUACCGACCUGCAUGAAUGGCGUAACGAGAUGGGAGCUGUCUCAAAGAGGGAUCCAGUGAAAUUGUAGUGGAGGUGAAAAUUCCUCCUACCCGCGGCAAGACGGAAAGACCCCGUGGACCUUUACUACAGCUUGACACUGCUACUUGGAUAAGAAUGUGCAGGAUAGGUGGGAGGCUUUGAGUAUAUGACGCCAGUUGUAUAUGAGCCAUUGUUGAGAUACCACUCUUUCUUAUUUGGGUAGCUAACCAGCUUGAGUUAUCCUCAAGUGGGACAAUGUCUGGUGGGUAGUUUGACUGGGGCGGUCGCCUCCCAAAUAAUAACGGAGGCUUACAAAGGUUGGCUCAGAACGGUUGGAAAUCGUUCGUAGAGUAUAAAGGUAUAAGCCAGCUUAACUGCAAGACAUACAAGUCAAGCAGAGACGAAAGUCGGUCUUAGUGAUCCGGUGGUUCUGUGUGGAAGGGCCAUCGCUCAAAGGAUAAAAGGUACCCCGGGGAUAACAGGCUGAUCUCCCCCAAGAGCUCACAUCGACGGGGAGGUUUGGCACCUCGAUGUCGGCUCAUCGCAUCCUGGGGCUGGAGCAGGUCCCAAGGGUAUGGCUGUUCGCCAUUUAAAGCGGUACGCGAGCUGGGUUCAGAACGUCGUGAGACAGUUCGGUCCCUAUCUGCCGUGGGCGUAAGAAGAUUGAAGAGAUUUGACCCUAGUACGAGAGGACCGGGUUGAACAAACCACUGGUGUAGCUGUUGUUCUGCCAAGAGCAUCGCAGCGUAGCUAAGUUUGGAAAGGAUAAACGCUGAAAGCAUCUAAGCGUGAAGCCAACUCUAAGAUGAAUCUUCUCUAAGCUCUCUAGAAGACUACUAGUUUGAUAGGCUGGGUGUGUAAUGGAUGAAAGUCCUUUAGCUGACCAGUACUAAUAGAGCGUUUGGCUUAUCUUU
Molecule: ribosomal RNA, 1385 nt
Filed under: Campylobacter jejuni
Lineage: Bacteria; Pseudomonadati; Campylobacterota; Epsilonproteobacteria; Campylobacterales; Campylobacteraceae
Description: partial 23S ribosomal RNA
Rfam family: Bacterial large subunit ribosomal RNA
Source: RNAcentral